AUGAGCAAAGGUCUCGCCGUCCUGCUACUCCUCGUCUCGCUUGCUCUGAGCUCCGGCGUCGGCUUCUGCGACGCGAGGAGCGGCAAGCACUGGAGGCAGAACAGAGGACCCUCCUCCAGCUCCAUGUUCAGAAGGAAAGGAAAAGGGAAGAACGGCGGCGGUUCCCCUUCCCACAGCCACAGGCAGUACGGCAAAGGGCGUCAGAGUCCUGCAAUGCCGGCGCCGCCAAGUCCAGGCGGUGGUCAUGGCUAUGCGUCGCCGUCUCCACCACCGCCAUCGCUGCCACCACAAGCACCCUCUGUGCCACGGUCGCCGCCACCACCUCUGCCCCCGUCGUUGCCGCCACAAGCACCGCCAUCGGACGAGCCGUCGCAGGGCACGGUGUUCAACGUGGUUGCUUUCGGAGCGCGGGGUGACGGAGUUACGGAUGAUACUCAGGCUUUUGAAGCAGCAUGGGCAGCAGCGUGCAAGGUGGAGGCAUCGACGGUUCUUGUACCACCUGAACUCGAGUUCGUUGUUGGCCCAAUCUCAUUUUCGGGGCCUAACUGCAAACCUAACAUUCUGUUCCAGCUGGAUGGAACCAUUUCGGCUAAAACUGGCGCGAGAGCGUGGGGCUCCGGUUUGCUUCAGUGGCUCGAGUUCACAAAACUAAAUGGGAUAUCAAUUCAAGGCAGUGGUGUCAUAAAUGGUCAGGGUAAAGAAUGGUGGACCUAUUCAGAUUCAAAUGAUGAUGAUGAUGAUAUGGACUCAUACACUGAUCAGGAGCUGGAGAAGAUGCCACAGAUUAAACCCACGGCGCUAAGGUUUUACGGCAGUUCCGAUGUCAGAGUAACUGGUAUCAGCAUCAUCAACAGCCCGCAGUGCCAUCUGAAGUUCGAUAGCUGUCAGGGAGUCAUGGUUCAUAACCUCACCAUCUCUUCCCCUGAGAAUAGCCCCAACACUGAUGGAAUACACCUGCAAAACUCCAAGGAUGUCAACAUUCACCACACUGACCUGGCCUGCGGUGAUGACUGCAUCUCCAUCCAGACAGGCUGCAGCGACGUAAACAUACAUAAUGUGAACUGCGGACCAGGCCAUGGGAUCAGCAUUGGUGGCCUAGGGAGGUACAACACCAAGGCAUGUGUCUCCAACAUCACUGUAAGAGAUGUCAACAUGUUCAAAACAAUGACCGGUGUCAGGAUCAAGACUUGGCAGGGUGGCUCAGGGCUGGUCCAGGGCAUAAGGUUCUCCAACAUACACAUGUCAGAGGUUCAGACGCCCAUCAUGAUCGACCAGUUCUACUGCGACAAAACAUCGUGCACGAACCAGACCUCGGCGGUGGCGGUCUCGGGCGUGCAGUACGAGAACAUCCGGGGGACUUUCACGAUCAAGCCCGCCCAUUUCGCGUGCAGCGACAGCUCGCCGUGUUCGGAGAUCACCCUGACCGGGAUACAACUGAGACCCCUGGUAGUGCCUCAGUACCACACAUGCAGCAGCCCCUUCUGCUGGCAGGCCUUCGGGGAGCUGUACACUCCCACCAUCCCUCCUAUUUCAUGCUUGCAGCUCGGCAAGCCGGCCGGGAACCGCGUGCUGUCGGACCACGAUCAGUGCUGA
This 1593-nucleotide ribosomal RNA is filed under the name Triticum aestivum (bread wheat). RNAcentral describes it as "partial small subunit ribosomal RNA". Lineage: Eukaryota; Viridiplantae; Streptophyta; Magnoliopsida; Poales; Poaceae. The record is from RNAcentral.